GACCCGCCACAACGGCUUCCUGACGUGGCGGAGUAUUUUUGACUGGAGCA
Non-coding RNA from Loktanella atrilutea, 50 nucleotides. The record is from Rfam. Lineage: Bacteria; Pseudomonadati; Pseudomonadota; Alphaproteobacteria; Rhodobacterales; Roseobacteraceae.